RNAcentral lists this ribosomal RNA (497 nucleotides) under uncultured bacterium. Its description in RNAcentral is "partial 16S ribosomal RNA". It matches the Rfam family "Bacterial small subunit ribosomal RNA", at positions 28 to 507 of the family's 1533-position model. The record is from RNAcentral.
GAUGAACGCUGGCGGCGUGCCUAAUACAUGCAAGUCGAGCGAACAGACGAGGAGCUUGCUCCUCUGACGUUAGCGGCGGACGGGUGAGUAACACGUGGAUAACCUACCUAUAAGACUGGGAUAACUUCGGGAAACCGGAGCUAAUACCGGAUAAUAUAUUGAACCGCAUGGUUCAAUAGUGAAAUACGGUUUUGCUGUCACUUAUAGAUGGAUCCGCGCCGCAUUAGCUAGUUGGUAAGGUAACGGCUUACCAAGGCAACGAUGCGUAGCCGACCUGAGAGGGUGAUCGGCCACCUUGGAACUGAGACACGGUCCUGACUCCUACGGGACGCAGCAGUAGGGAAUCUUACGCAAUAGGCGAAAGCCUGACGGAGCAACGGCGCGUGAGAGAUGAAGGUCUUCGGAGCGUAAAGCUCUGUUAUUAGGGAAGAACAAAUGUGUAAGUAAAUAUGCACGUCUUGACGGUACCUAAUCAGAAAGCAACGGCUAACUACGUG